Molecule: long non-coding RNA, 178 nt
Organism: Eptesicus fuscus (big brown bat)
Lineage: Eukaryota; Metazoa; Chordata; Mammalia; Chiroptera; Vespertilionidae
Exons: 2
Source: RefSeq, a predicted model, not a curated record
GGCCCGCCCAACCACCUCCUGCCUGCUUCUUUAAGUAGAAGCCGCGGGCGUUCCUCCGUCUUUCGGCGGCGGGGAAGCUUGCGAGAUCCGGCCGGCCACGGACGUCGGAUCCAUUGUCCUCCCAGCGCUUCGACCCUCCUUCCCUGAAGGCUCUCAAUAAAAUAGCUUGUUCCUACCA